Molecule: ribosomal RNA, 1292 nt
Filed under: Andrena hunanensis
Lineage: Eukaryota; Metazoa; Arthropoda; Insecta; Hymenoptera; Andrenidae
Description: 16S ribosomal RNA
Rfam family: Archaeal large subunit ribosomal RNA (bases 1039-1197)
Source: RNAcentral
AUUUAGUAUUUAUGAAUUUGUUGUUUGUAUGUAUAUUUAUUUUAAUAAAUAUAAUUUAAUGUUUAUGUGUUUUAGUAUUAAUUUUGAAUUAAUUUGAUUUUAUAUAGUUAUAGUAUUGUGAAGGGGUAAUUUUUAUGUAAUUAAGUAAAUUAAUUUUUUACCUUUUGUAUCAGGGUUUAUUAACUAAUUAAUAUGUAUAUUUAUUAAUCUCGAAUUUAAAAGAGUUAAAUAUAAAUUAUUUUUUAUGUUGAAUAAUAAUUAUAAAUUUAUAUUUAGAAGUGAAAUGUUAUUCGAUUUUAUUGAUAUCUAGUUUUUUCCGAAAUGAAUUUAAUUCAUAUAUUUAGUUAAAUAGUAAUAGUGUUGUUUUAUUUAUGUUGAGUAUAAAAAAUUAAUGGGAUAACCUGUUGAUUUAUGUUUAUUAUUAAAUAGUUUAGAUUAAUAGUUGUGGUUCUAAAAUUUAAUUUCGUUUGAGAUAAUUUAAUAAUUUAUUUUAUUAUUUAAAAAUUUAAUUAUUUUAAUGUAAUUUUUUAGGAUAAAUUAUAUAUUAAUGAUUUUUAUAUAGUUAUAAUGAUAAAAUUAGUAGUUGAUUUUGUGAAUAAUGUUUUUAUAUUUAAUAUAAAUUAAAGGAACUCGGCAAAUUAAAUAUUCACCUGUUUAUCAAAAACAUGUCUUUUUGUUUAUAAUUUAAAGUCUGCUCUGCCCAAUGAAUUAUUUUAAAUGGCUGCAGUAUAUUGACUGUACAAAGGUAGCAUAAUAAUUAGUCUUUUUAUUGAAGGCUUGAAUGAAUGAGUUGAUGAAAUAUUUCCUGUCUCUAGAUUAAACUGUUAAUUUAAAUUUUAAGUAAAAAUGCUUAGAUUUUUUCUAUGGGACGAGAAGACCCUAUAGAAUUUUAUAAUUUAUUUUAGGAAUAAGUUUUAAUAAAAUUAAGUAAUUUAUUGGGAGGAUAUUUAAAAUUAUUUAACUUUAAAAAAUUUAUCCAAGUAUUUUUGUUUCAAAAGAUAGUUUAUUAAAAAAAUUGUUAGAUUUAAUUACCUUGGGGAUAACAGCGUAAUAUCUUUGGAGAGAUCAUAUUUAUGAAGAUGAUUGCGACCUCGAUGUUGAAUUAGGAUAUAAUUUAAAUGCAGCAGUUUAAAUAUUAAGUCUGUUCGACUUUUAAUAUCUUACAUGAUUUCAGUUCAGAUCGACGUGAGCCAGAUCGGUUUCUAUCUAUAUUUAUCUAAUAAAUUUUUGUACGAAAGGACUUAAUUUGUGGAUUAAUUUUUUUUAUUAUAUUAAGAUUUUAAAUGGGAUAA